CAGCCCGGCACAGCCCGGCACAGCCCGGCACAGCCCGGCACAGCCCGGCACAGCCCGGCACAGCCCGGCACAGCCCGGUACAGCCCGGCACAGCCCGGCACAGCCCGGUACAGCCCGGUACAUCCCGGUACAGCCCGGUACAGCCCGGCACAGCCCGGUACAGCCCGGUACAGCCCGGCCCAACGCAGCCUGGCACAGCCUGGCCCGGUGCAGUCCAACCCAGCCUGGCACAGCCCGGCCCGGCCUCUCCCCGGCGGAGCUAGCUCGGAGACAAGCACAGCCCGGCAGCGUUUCGCCCCCCUUGGCUUGGGGGAGCGCAGCAGAGAUUUUGGGGUCGUUUGGGUGGGGGUUUCUUUCCUUUCCUUUCCUUUUUUUUUUUUUAGUGUAAAAUUCGGUUUGUUUUCCCCCACGUCUGUGCCUGCUGGCGGGCACGGCCGGCUCUGCCCUCCCGGAGGAAUGAAUGCCCGCUCCCGCAGCCCGGCUCCUCUCUGCGGCCGGAGGAAUCUCACACAGCGCGCCAUAUGCUGCGCGCUAACUUUAAAGAUGCAUCAUCAUGCAAUGAAGGUUGGAAGAGCGGCAGAAAGGCAGGAAUGUGUAAGCGCUUUUAUCGCGCCCUCCUCGCCGUCUGCCCGGGCAGCCGGGCCCACGGGCGAGCCUCGGGAAAAGCAGCACGCAGGAAAAGCAGCACGCAGGAAAAGCCAGGCCACGCAGGAAAAGCAGCACGCAGGAAAAGCAGCACGCAGGAAAAGCAGCACGCAGGAAAAGCAGCACGCAGGAAAAGCCGGGCCACGCGUGUGUGCAGGCGCUGCGAGCAGCGAGCCCGCACGGCCACGUCCUGCGGGCCACCAGAGCCCUUCCCCGAGCACCGGCCUGGCAGGGCACUGCCCAAACUUCCCGCGAGUUUUUAUUUUUCCUCAUUCUUUUCCUGCUUCUCCUUCUUUUCAUUUAUAUAUAUAUAUAUUUUUUUUUUAAAAACGUGUCCUUUCCCCUCCACCCUUCUCAGGUGUACACAGAUUAGAAGUGGAGUUAGCAGCCAAAAUUACUGGUAA
RNAcentral lists this long non-coding RNA (1049 nucleotides) under Cyanistes caeruleus (blue tit). RNAcentral describes it as "lncRNA (ENSCCEG00000012886.1)". Lineage: Eukaryota; Metazoa; Chordata; Aves; Passeriformes; Paridae. The record is from RNAcentral.